GACGAACGCUGGCGGCGUGCCUAAUACAUGCAAGUAGAACGCUGAAGGAGGAGCUUGCUCUUCUGGAUGAGUUGCGAACGGGUGAGUAACGCGUAGGUAACCUGCCUGGUAGCGGGGGAUAACUAUUGGAAACGAUAGCUAAUACCGCAUAAUAGUAGAUGUUGCAUGACAUUUACUUAAAAGGUGCAAUUGCAUCACUACCAGAUGGACCUGCGUUGUAUUAGCUAGUUGGUGGGGUAACGGCUCACCAAGGCGACGAUACAUAGCCGACCUGAGAGGGUGAUCGGCCACACUGGGACUGAGACACGGCCCAGACUCCUACGGGAGGCAGCAGUAGGGAAUCUUCGGCAAUGGACGGAAGUCUGACCGAGCAACGCCGCGUGAGUGAAGAAGGUUUUCGGAUCGUAAAGCUCUGUUGUAAGAGAAGAACGAGUGUGAGAGUGGAAAGUUCACACUGUGACG
This 462-nucleotide ribosomal RNA is filed under the name Streptococcus sp. oral taxon 064. RNAcentral's name for it is "bacterial SSU rRNA". It matches the Rfam family "Bacterial small subunit ribosomal RNA", at positions 28 to 474 of the family's 1533-position model. Lineage: Bacteria; Bacillati; Bacillota; Bacilli; Lactobacillales; Streptococcaceae. The record is from RNAcentral.